CUGGCUCAGGAUGAACGCUAGCGGCAGGCUUAACACAUGCAAGUCGAGGGGCAGCGGGAUGUAGCAAUACAUUGCCGGCGACCGGCGGAUGGGUGCGUAACGCGUAUGCAACCUACCUUAUACAGGGGAAUAACCUUUCGAAAGGGAGACUAACACCCCAUAGUAUUGAUUUAAGGCAUCUUAGAUUAAUUAAAUAUUUAUAGGUAUAAGAUGGGCAUGCGUAUGAUUAGCUAGUUGGUAAGGUAACGGCUUACCAAGGCGACGAUCAUUAGGGGUUCUGAGAGGAAGGUCCCCCACACUGGUACUGAGACACGGACCAGACUCCUACGGGAGGCAGCAGUGAGGAAUAUUGGUCAAUGGGCGCAAGCCUGAACCAGCCAUGCCGCGUGCAGGAAGACGGCCUUAUGGGUUGUAAACUGCUUUUACAUAAGACUAACCGUAUAUUUGCGAAUAUACCUGAAUGUAUUAUGAGAAUAAGGAUCGGCUAACUCCGUGCCAGCCGCGGC
Molecule: ribosomal RNA, 506 nt
Filed under: uncultured bacterium
Lineage: Bacteria
Description: bacterial SSU rRNA
Rfam family: Bacterial small subunit ribosomal RNA
Source: RNAcentral